This 433-nucleotide ribosomal RNA is filed under the name uncultured bacterium. RNAcentral's name for it is "partial 16S ribosomal RNA". It matches the Rfam family "Bacterial small subunit ribosomal RNA", at positions 29 to 506 of the family's 1533-position model. The record is from RNAcentral.
AGCGAACGCUGGCGGCAGGCCUAACACAUGCAAGUCGAACGAACCUUUCGGGGUUAGUGGCGGACGGGUGAGUAACACGUGGGAACGUGCCUUUAGGUUCGGAAUAACUCAGGGAAACUUGUGCUAAUACCGAAUGUGCCCUUCGGGGGAAAGAUUUAUCGCCUUUAGAGCGGCCCGCGUCUGAUUAGCUAGUUGGUUGAGGUAAUGGCUCACCAAGGCGACGAUCAGUAGCUGGUCUGAGAGGAUGAUCAGCCACAUUGGGACUGAGACACGGCCCAAACUCCUACGGGAGGCAGCAGUGGGGAAUCUUGCGCAAUGGGCGAAAGCCUGACGCAGCCAGGCCGCGUGAAUGAUGAAGGUCUUAGGAUUGUAAAAUUCUUUCACCGGGGACGAUAAGGACGGUACCCGGAGAAGAAGCCCCGGCUAACUUCGU